AACAGCCACACUGGGACUGAGACACGGUCCAGACUCGAAAGAAAGGGGGGAGUGGGGAAUCUUGCACAAUGGGCGCAAGUCCGAUGCAGCGAUGCCGCGUGCGGGAAGAAGGCCUUAGGGUUGUAAACCGCUUUCAGGAGGGAAGAAAAUGACGGUACCUCCAGAAGAAGGUGCGGCCAACUACGUGCCAGCAGCCGCGGUGACACGUAGGCACCAAGCGUUAUCCGGAUUUAUUGGGCGUAAAGAGCUCGUAGGCGGUUUGGUAAGUCGGGUGUGAAAACUCUGGGCUCAACCCAGAGAGGCCACUCGAUACUGCUAUGACUAGAGUACGGUAGGGGAGACUGGAAUUCC
Molecule: ribosomal RNA, 351 nt
Filed under: uncultured bacterium
Lineage: Bacteria
Description: bacterial SSU rRNA
Rfam family: Bacterial small subunit ribosomal RNA
Source: RNAcentral